AUAUGACAGUGUGCUUCUGUGUCUGUUUUUAUGCACACAUCUCUGUAUGUGCCUCUGUGUGUCAGGGUGUGUGUUUUUAUGUCAGUGGGAGUAUAUGUUGCUAAGAUAGUUGUAGGAACCACCUGCGGCUUUAAAACUUGAGUGCCUGGAUAUUUCUUUUUUGACUUAGUGUGUGUAUAUGUGUCAUGGUGUGGGCAUGUAUUAAUGUUUGUGUGUGUCAGGGUGCAUGUGUGUAUGUCGGUGUGUAUCUAUGUGUGUAUGUGUGUGUAUGUGUCAGUGUGUAUCUAUAUGUGUGUAUAUGUCGGUGUCUAUAUGAAUUUGAGUGUAUGUGUCGGUGCAUUUAUAUGCAUCUCUAUGUUAAUGUGCAUGAAUAUCUGUGUAAAUAUGCAUGUAUGUUGUAGUGUGCAUGCAUCUAAUCAGUCAAACACCAGCACAACAUACAAGCACACUCCUGCAAUCUAACACAAAUAUUGCAUACAAACACACCCCUGCAUUCAAUCUCAAAAAUAUAUAUAUAUAAACACAGCCCUUCACAGAAACACAAAUACCUCACACAAAUGUACAUCCACAUUUAAAAGUGAACAUUACAUUCAGACACACCCCUGCAAUCAAACACAAAUAUUACAUACAAACACACUCCUGUAUUAAAACACAAUAAAUGUAUACAAGAAUCCCUUCAAACACCAAGGCAGGGAGCUUGCAAUGCAAAUGCGUGCUGUGACACAAGGGCAGUGGGCUCUAUAUGCAAUAACCUUUGCAAUGAUGCAAAGUUUUAAUGAUGCCUACAGUCAAAAUUAAGAACCAUAAAUAAUACAUGAUGGUUUGGAUAGAAUGCAAUGUACUCCAUUGUGGUAAUGUUAGAUAUUGAAAUUAAAAUUUUGUUUAAUUCUGAUUAUACCCCUGAACACUUCAAAUGUUUAUUUGCUCCAUGUUGCUGAACUGAUGUGGAAAGGUUUCUGAUAAUGAUGGAAGUUACAUACAAAUUAUGGAUGCCUGUAGACUAAUUCUGGCAUUCUGUACCUAGUCAAUUAAGAAGAGACAAUCAAGUCAUAUGGGCAUACAAAACAAUACCCCUUGAAAAUAUACCUGCAUAGGUUAAAAAAAAAAGUAAAAGAAAAGUAUAAAAAACAUUAAACAUACCGUACCUCAUCACUCAAUAAAAAGGUGUGUACAGAGAGCACAUUACAAUAGCAAUAUUUGACUAUAAAUUCUCAGAUGCCCUUAUAGUGUGACCUUAAGUCAUGAAAUUAAAGGAGUGGGGGUGACAUUUCCUCUUAUUACUCCUUCAUAUUGUGACCAUUACAGUAUAACAGCAUGUUGUGUAAUGUAAUAACUGUUUUGCUGUUAUAGUUGUCUCUUGGAAGCGUUGCACUCUGGAUGAACUCCAUCCUUGGGUUUUCUACUGUAAUUGCUUUGUGGCCCAUUGGAAUUCUGUUUCGUGAAGCCAGAACACAGCUGGCUGAGCAGAACAUUGGGACAAAGUUUGCAGUUUUCCAGGUAAGACUUACAAUUUCACUACUUACUUUUCUCACAAUACGAUCUUGGAGCAUACAAGGAUUUAUUCACUAAAAUGAGACUUCAAAGUGAAUUCCACAUUUAAGGCCAUAAUAGUCAAACUGGAAUUAUAACUGACUUGGAGAAUUUUUCAGUUGGCUAUUUUGUCAUUAAAUUUGUAAUUCACUCUGAAUUCUCACUUUAGUGAAUAAGCCUGAAUAAGACAGUGUGAACCAAAUUUAGAUCACAUUGUGAAUUUUAUAUAGGAACAUUUUCUGCAAUACCCAUAAUUGGUGUCAAUGAAAAAAAAGAGAUGAUUUUCAAACUUUGCUAUUAUGGCCUUUAUUUUUCAGUUUGGUUGUCAACACACCUCAAUGUAUUGUUUUGUUAGUUGGGGUAGUACAAUUGUUUGGUAAAGAUACAGUUGGUCUUCUCAACAACAAAAACAGGGCACAGGAGAUAUCUUUAUAAACCUUGGCAGAUUGGUGGGUACCAAGUAUCUCUUUAACAACAGACAGUCUUGCAAUCUGCAACUAUUUAUCAUAAUGUAGAUUCAGCUGCAAUAUAUAUAUAUAUAUAUAUGUGUGUGUGUGUGUGUGUAUAUAUAUAUAUAUAGUGCUUCUUUAAAUUUGUUACUGAGAAUAUGCAAACAUUCUAUUCAUGACAACAGACAAAAAUGCAAUAUAUAUCUUUUCUAAAAAGAAUUACAUUUUGUAAUGAGUUUUGUAGCAAAUAAAGCAAUGAAUAGUUAGACAAAGAGAUAUUUUGUGUAGUUAAAAAAAUAUACUUCUACAUUUAUAGCCUUGUUUAGUAGUAACUUAGGGUAUACAUAUUACCACAACUGUAUAUCAUUAAAGGGAUACUAUAGCUCCAGGACUACAAAGCUGUGUUCCUGCCACUAUAGCUCCCCCUUUUUCCCCCUCCCUCACACCCCUCCUCCCCGCCCAGGUAAAUAAAGGGUUAAAACUAUUUUAUUUACUUACCUUUCCCCAGCACCAAUGUCUCUAAGCGCUGGGUCGAUACUCCACCCCCUCUGACGGUCUAUGACAUGCGCGUGCUAAUGUGCAUGAGCAGAAAAUGCACAUUAGACCUCUUCAUAGGAAAGCAUUGAAUCAAUUCUUUCCUAUGGGGAAAAAAAUCUGAUGCUGGAGGUACUCAUGCUGCUGGAGUACCUCCAGCAUCAGAUUUUUUUCCCCAUAGGAAAGAAUUGAUUCAAUGCUUUCCUAUGAAGAGGUCUAAUGUGCACUUGACAGGCUCAGAAAAGUCAAAAAUAGUGAGAUAUCUUGCAGAGGGAUGCAGCACUCUUAAAAUUGCAAAGCUUCUGAAGCAUGAUCAUCGAACAAUCAAGCGUUUCAUUCAAAAUAGUCAACAGGGUCGCAAGAAGCGUGUGGAAAAACCAAGGCGCAAAAUAACUGCCCAUGAACUGAGAAAAGUCAAGCGUGCAGCUGCCACGAUGCCACUUGCCACCAGUUUGGCCAUAUUUCAGAGCUGCAACAUCACUGAGUGCCCAAAAGCACAAGGUGUGCAAUACUCAGAGACAUGGCCAAGGUAAGAAAGGCUGAAAGACGACCACCACUGAACAAGACACACAAGCUGAAACGUCAAGACUGGGCCAAGAAAUAUUUCAAGACUGAUUUUCUAAGGUUUUAUGGACUGAUGAAAUGAGAGUGAGUCUUGAUGGGCCAGAUGGAUGGGCCCGUGGCUGGAUUGGUAAAGGGCAGAGAGCUCCAGUCCGACUCAGACGCCAGCAAGGUGGAGGUGGAGUACCGGUUUGGGCUGGUAUCAUCAAAGAUGAGCUUGUGGGGCCUUUUCGGGUUGAGGAUGGAGUCAAGCUCAACUCCCAGUCCUACUGCCAGUUCCUGGAAGACACCUUCUUCAAGCAGUGGUACAGGAAGAAGUCUGCAUCCUUCAAGAAAAACAUGAUUUUCAUGCAGGACAAUGCUCCAUCACACGCGUCCAAGUACUCCACAGCGUGGCUGGCAAGAAAGGGUAUAAAAGAAGAAAAUCUAAUGACAUGGCCUCCUUGUUCACCUGAUCUGAACCCCAUUGAGAACCUGUGGUCCAUCAUCAAAUGUGAGAUUUACAAGGAGGGAAAACAGUACACCUCUCUGAACAGUGUCUGGGAGGCUGUGGUUGCUGCUGCACGCAAUGUUGAUGGUGAACAGAUCAAAACACUGACAGAAUCCAUGGAUGGCAGGCUUUUGAGUGUCCUUGCAAAGAAAGGUGGCUAUAUUGGUCACUGAUUUGUUUUUGUUUUGUUUUUGAAUGUCAGAAAUGUAUAUUUGUGAAUGUUGAGAUGUUAUAUUGGUUUCACUGGUAAUAAUAAAUAAUUGAAAUGGGUAUAUAUUUGUUUUUUGUUAAGUUGCCUAAUAAUUAUGCACAGUAAUAGUCACCUGCACACACAGAUAUCCCCUAACAUAGCUAUAACUAAAAACAAACUAAAAACUACUUCCAAAAAUAUUCAGCUUUGAUAUUAAUGAGUUUUUGGGUUCAUUGAGAACAUGGUUGUUGUUCAAUAAUAAAAUUAAUCCUCAAAAAUACAACUUGCCUAAUAAUUCUGCACUCCCUGUAGAAACUGACACUUUUCUAAAUAAUCCUUGUUACACCCCCAGCUGUCAGUUAGACAGCCAGUCAUGUUACUUCCUGAUUGCUUAGCUCAGUGGAGCUAAACUCAAUAGACAGGCAAUUGGUCAGAGCACCUGCCUAGCAAAGACUGUGAAGUCUGUAAUUGGGCAGCCAUAGAAAGUCUGGGCUGGAAAGAAGGGGAGGACUUGCAAAGGCUUUACAUAAAAAAGCUGCAGCUUUUGCAAUCUGUUUUAGAUACAACUCCAAUGAAAAGAUUCAUAAUUAAAUGCAUGCAUGUUUUCAUUGAGAGUAAAUACAUUGAUUGUAUUUAUUUAUUUAUUUAUUUAUUUCUGCAGUGGAGUGCAGUGUGCCUUUAAGGCACAAGAACCAGACAGUGUGGUUACUGUUAAAAAUAACUGAGAUAAAAGAUAGCAGAGAACAUCAUCAUGGAAAAUACAGUUACCACAACAAAUCAUGUAAUCUAGCUGAUAAGUACCCAGAAAAAGAUAAGCAUCAAGUAUAAGGGUAGAACAUGCAAGAAGGAGAACUUCUAAUCCACUAGGUUACGCAAAAAGUCAACACGUAGCAGAAUUAUAAAGGCCAAACUCCAAGCCAAGGAGGGUUGGCUUCCAGUGCAAGCAUUAUAUUAGGGGUGGCCAAAAUGUAGAUCCCUGGCUAUUGUAGAACUACAAACCCCAUAAUGCUUUGCUAGGUUUAAGGACACCAAUUACAGAAAACAGGGCAACCUUUGUUGUAAUGAAAACAACAAGAAAUGCAACAUAUACUUGAAAAUGCAUUGUUUUUUAUAUUUAUGGAUGAACAGAAAAUAUGUGUUUUCCUUAAACCAGGUACUUCUUGUUUCCCCAAGUAUCAAGGUUUGUAACAAUCCCAUGUGUUUGAGAUUCAAUACUUUAUUUAAUGAUUUUGAAAACAUUAUAUUGUUUUAGAUAGUAUUUCAACAUAGAACCACACAGAAAUAAGCCUUGUGCUCACAUUUACACUAAUUUUGGCCAGCAACAACAGCUAUUGUAAGCAUCAUCCAAAAUAUUUACUAUGAACUAUUUUUUUUUUUUUAGAGAUAUCAUCAUAUUAAUUGUUAUUUCAUUUUUUAGAUUCUCCUCAUCUUGACUACUCUGCAGAGCUCAAUCUUCAACAUCCUGGCUAGUGUUGGACAGCUGCCUUGUGUGCCACCAUAUAUGUAUAAAGCCAGAUCUCAGA
Non-coding RNA from Pelobates cultripes (western spadefoot toad), 5277 nucleotides. The record is from the annotation of a GenBank genome assembly. NCBI's taxonomy places the organism in Eukaryota, Metazoa, Chordata, Amphibia, Anura, Pelobatidae.